AGCGAACGCUGGCGGCAGGCCUAACACAUGCAAGUCGAACGAACUCUUCGUAGUUAGUUGCGGUUGCGUGAGUCACACGUGGGAACGUUCCUUUAUGCACCGGAUUCCACAGGGUCGCUUGGGCUAAUACAGGAUGAGCUACUCGGGGACAGGAUUCGUCGCCUUUAGGGCGGCCGGAGACUGUUUGGCCUGUUGGUGAGGGAAGGGCCGACCAAGGCGUAGAUCGGUAGCUGGGCUGAGAGGAUGAUCGGCCACAUUGGGGCUAAGACACGGCCGAAACUCCUACGGGAGGGAGCAGAGGGGAAUCUAGCGCAAUGGGGGAAGGCCUGACGCAGCCAGGCCGGGUAAGUGAUGAAGGUGUGAGGAUAGUAAAAUUCUUUAACCGGGGACGAUAAUGACGGUACCCGGAGAAGAAGCCCCGGCUAACUUCGUG
This 433-nucleotide ribosomal RNA is filed under the name uncultured bacterium. RNAcentral's name for it is "partial 16S ribosomal RNA". It matches the Rfam family "Bacterial small subunit ribosomal RNA", at positions 29 to 507 of the family's 1533-position model. The record is from RNAcentral.